This 853-nucleotide long non-coding RNA is filed under the name Setaria italica (foxtail millet). RNAcentral describes it as "long non-coding RNA (SITA_LNC004621)". The record is from RNAcentral. Lineage: Eukaryota; Viridiplantae; Streptophyta; Magnoliopsida; Poales; Poaceae.
UCAUUCGGUCGUUCGUCCCCGACGGCCCGACUCCCCGAAUCCCGAACCGGUGAACCCUAGACCUAGACGGCCGGCGGCAGCAGGAUCAAGCGGUGCCGCGGAGGGCAGAUUCAGUAGGCCAGCGGCUGGAGGUGACGAGCACCAUGGUGGAGCUUCGGAGCCGCGAAGGGCCGAGGGCGCCGGCCGUGGGGGCACCGGCCGCUAAGGCAGUGCGCAGCAGGCCGGCAAGCGACCGGCAUCGAGGCAACUCAGCACGGCGGCAAGCAGCUCCUUAUCCCAUUCUCCCAUCCUCCAGCACGGCAGCAGCAAGCCGGUCAUUUUGUAGGACUGCCAUUAGCUGAGUUGUGAAUUUGUAAGUUAAUAUUGCUAAAUUGACAUCUUAUUUCAACAUGUUAGUGGCUGCAAUUUAGAAAUGUCUAUGAAUUUGUGUCAACCAUGGCAGUGACUGUGAGGCAGUGAUCAUUACAUGAAAUAGUAUCCUGAAACUUAAGUGAUUUUAUUUUUACAUGAACAGAUUCACAACUGAUUUUAGUUCUUUAUUGGAUAGAGGUAUGCCAUAAACUAGGAUUAGGACUGUUCAAAAUUUUUUUACCCCGUUAUCAUUUUGAAUACCAAUGCUCCAAAUCCUGGGCCCGCCCCUGUGGCGAGGCCAACGACUCGUGGCUGCUAAUGUCUUCUCGGUCGCGCAUUGGCUCGAGACAGUGCUGCUGCUCGAGGCUACAGACGAUCAGAGAGAGAGAAGGAAGAUGACUCAUGGACCAGAGCAAAGGGAUGGACAGGAGAACGAUACGAGUGGAUAAGGAUGUUAUGUUACGAACUAUGGCUGGACUAAGACCAUGGACUGUAGGUCCCG